GCUUACGGCCAUACCACCCUGAACACCCCCGAUCGAAGCUAAGCAGGGUCGGGCCUUGUGAGUACUUGGAUGGGAGACGCCUGGAAUACCAGGUGCUGUAAGCU
This 104-nucleotide ribosomal RNA is filed under the name Labrus bergylta (ballan wrasse). Lineage: Eukaryota; Metazoa; Chordata; Actinopteri; Labriformes; Labridae. The record is from RNAcentral.